GACGAACGCUGGCGGCGUGCUUAACACAUGCAAGUCGAACGGAAAGGCCUGUCCUUCCUUGUGUUGGACGGGUACUCGAGUGGCGAACGGGUGAGUAACACGUGAGUGAUCUGCCCCCAACUUGGGUAUAAGCCUGGGAAACUGGGUCUAAUUCCCGAUAGGACUGCAGGGUGGUGCCUGUGGUGGAAAACGAUUUUCUAGUGGUUGGGGAUGAGCUCGCGGCCUAUCAGCUUGUUGGUGGGGUAAUGGCCUACCAAGGCGGCGACGGGUAGCCGGCCUGGGAGGGUGGACGGCCACAUUGGGACUGAGAUACGGCCCAGACUCCUACGGGAGGCAGCAGUGGGGAAUAUUGCACAAUGGGCGGAAGCCUGAUGCAGCGACGCCGCGUGGGGGAUGACGGCCUUCGGGUUGUAAACUCCUUUCGACCGCGAGGAAGCCGCCUGGUUGGAAGGGUGGUGACGGUAGCGGUAGAAGAAGCACCGGCUAACUACGUG
This 494-nucleotide ribosomal RNA is filed under the name uncultured bacterium. Its description in RNAcentral is "partial 16S ribosomal RNA". It matches the Rfam family "Bacterial small subunit ribosomal RNA", at positions 28 to 507 of the family's 1533-position model. The record is from RNAcentral.